This 440-nucleotide ribosomal RNA is filed under the name uncultured bacterium. RNAcentral describes it as "partial 16S ribosomal RNA". It matches the Rfam family "Bacterial small subunit ribosomal RNA", at positions 338 to 795 of the family's 1533-position model. The record is from RNAcentral.
CCUACGGGAGGCUGCAGUAGGGAAUAUUGCUCAAUGGGGGAAACCCUGAAGCAGCAACGCCGCGUGGAGGAUGAAGGUUUUCGGAUUGUAAACUCCUUUUGUUAGAGAAGAUAAUGACGGUAUCUAACGAAUAAACAACGGCUAACUCCGUGCCAGCAGCCGCGGUUAGACGGAGGGUGCAAGCGUUACGCGGAAUCACUGGGCGUAAAGAGCGCGGAGGCGGGAUAGCAAGUCUGAUGUGAAAUCCUAUGGCUUAACCAUAGAACUGCAUUUGACACUGUUAUUCUAGAGUGUGGGAGAGGAAGGUGGAAUUCUUGGUGGAGGGGUAAAAUCCGUAGAGAGCAAGAGGAAUACUCAUUGCGAAGGCGACCUGCUAGACCAUAACUGACGCUGAUGCGCGAAAGCGUGGGGAGCAAACAGGAUUAGAUACCCUGGUAGUC